RNAcentral lists this long non-coding RNA (750 nucleotides) under Salvia miltiorrhiza (redroot sage). Its description in RNAcentral is "long non-coding RNA (SMIL_LNC009150)". Lineage: Eukaryota; Viridiplantae; Streptophyta; Magnoliopsida; Lamiales; Lamiaceae. The record is from RNAcentral.
CGCCCCCAGUUAGAUGUGAUUUUGAACUAUAAAAUAUACCUAUAGAAAUAGAAAAUUUAUUUUCCCAAAUAUUCUUUUAAUAUAAAUUUGGGCCUAAAUAAAUUAUUUGCAGCCUAUUUAUAUUGGGCCCUGGAAUAAAUAUUUAUAUGGACUUUUUACAUUAGACCUUAUUUUAAUUUCGAGCUAUGAGUAAAGCAUUUCUGUAAUUCUUAUGAUUUGGGCUAAUGAACAGCCUUUACUUUCUUACUGAUCAUAAAUUUUACUGCAAUUACGUGUUUCUUUCCUCAGCCAUAAUUCUAUAUUCAUUUUCAGCCACAAAUUCUUAACUUGGCCUUGAAGAACACUCACAAUUCUGCAGCCACAUAUUUUCAAAAUCUUAGAAAAACAAGUAUGGUUUGUUUAUAAAUUUCGUGAGCUUCAAGAACAAGUUUAUUUAGUCUAGUAGAAAACUAUUUCGUGCAGCCCAAGAAUUUAGUCCUAUUUAAACUCAAAUCACCCGAAUUUGUAUACCAGCAAUUCACUCCUCAUCUGUUCACUUCACCAUAUAAACUCAAUCUGCCAUUUCUCACUGCACAUCACCAAUCGGUACUUUUAAUAUUUUCUGUAAGUUUAAUACUCAUAUGCAAUAAUUUCUGUUUUCUUUGUAAAUUCCCAAAUUUUCAAAAGAAUCAAAAGCCCUACAAUCCAAGAAUAGCAUUUUCAUUAAUUUACAGAAAAUUUAGAAUAACAGAGAAGAAAUAGAAGUAGGUU